RNAcentral lists this ribosomal RNA (460 nucleotides) under uncultured bacterium. Its description in RNAcentral is "partial 16S ribosomal RNA". It matches the Rfam family "Bacterial small subunit ribosomal RNA", at positions 338 to 795 of the family's 1533-position model. The record is from RNAcentral.
CCUACGGGAGGCAGCAGUGAGGAAUAUUGGUCAAUGGACGAGAGUCUGAACCAGCCAAGUAGCGUGAAGGAUGACUGCCCUAUGGGUGGUAAACGUCUUUUAUAAAGGAAUAAAACGAGGCACGUGUGCCUUUUUGCAUGUACUUUAUGAAUAAGGAUAGGCUAACUCCGUGCCAGCAGCCGCGGUAAUACGGAGGAUCCGAGCGUUAUGCGGAUUUAGUGGGUUGAAAGGGAGCGUAGAUGGGUUGUUAAGGCCGUUGUGAAAGUUUGCGGCUCAACCGUAAAAUUGCAAUUGAUACUGGCAGUCUUGAGUACAGUUGAGGUAGGUGGAAUUCGUGGUGUAGCGGUGAAAUGCUUAGAUAUCACGAAGAACCCCGAUUGCGAAGGCAGCUUACUAAACUGUGACUGACAUUGAUGCUCGAAAGUGUGGGUAUCAAACAGGAUUAGAUACCCUUGUAGUC